AUUGAACGCUGGCGGCAUGCCUUACACAUGCAAGUCGAACGGCAGCACGGGGGGCAACCCUGGUGGCGAGUGGCGAACGGGUGAGUAAUGCAUCGGAACGUGCCCAGUAGUGGGGGAUAACUAGUCGAAAGAUUAGCUAAUACCGCAUACGACCUACGGGUGAAAGCGGGGGAUGCAGCACUUAAUGUUUUGGGAUGGCUACUUGUGGCCGCCUCGGGACAGUCUCAGGUGAGAACAUUAAGUGCUGCACCUCGCGCUAUUGGAGCGGCCGAUGUCUGAUUAGCUAGUUGGCGGGGUAAAGCCCACAAGGCGACGAUCAGUAGCUGGUCUGAGAGGACGACCAGCCACACUGGGACUG
This 358-nucleotide ribosomal RNA is filed under the name uncultured bacterium. RNAcentral describes it as "bacterial SSU rRNA". It matches the Rfam family "Bacterial small subunit ribosomal RNA", at positions 30 to 321 of the family's 1533-position model. The record is from RNAcentral.